UGCAACGUGCAUCCAGAUAUGCUUUUGGAUUAUUAUUGCACAGAUCAUGAUAUUGUUUGCUGUAGAGCUUGCAUUCCUAAAGACCACAGGAAAUGCGAAAAUGUUCUGACAUUAGAACAUGCCUCUAAAGAUGUCAAAAAGUCGGCACUAUUCACCGACGUUAUGCAGGACAUAAACCAGCUCAUUAUAACAUUAAAUCAUUUACAGGAUAACAGAGAAUCAAACUUACAACGACUUUCUAAA
RNAcentral lists this long non-coding RNA (243 nucleotides) under Mytilus galloprovincialis (Mediterranean mussel). Lineage: Eukaryota; Metazoa; Mollusca; Bivalvia; Mytilida; Mytilidae. The record is from RNAcentral.